GACGAACGCUGGCGGCGUGCUUAACACAUGCAAGUCGAGCGGUAAGGCCCUUUCGGGGUACGACGAGCGGCGAACGGGUGAGUAACACGUGGGUGACCUGCCUUUAGCUCUGGGAUAAGCCUGGGAAACUGGGUCUAAUACCGGAUAUGACUCCAUGAUGCAUGUUGUGGGGUGGAAAGCCUUGUGCGGCUGGAGAUGGGCCCGCGGCCUAUCGGCUUGUUGGUGGGGUGAUGGCCUACCAAGGCGACGACGGGUAGCCGGCCUGAGAGGGCGACCGGCCACACUGGGACUGAGACACGGCCCAGACU
RNAcentral lists this ribosomal RNA (308 nucleotides) under uncultured bacterium. Its description in RNAcentral is "bacterial SSU rRNA". It matches the Rfam family "Bacterial small subunit ribosomal RNA", at positions 28 to 337 of the family's 1533-position model. The record is from RNAcentral.